This 508-nucleotide ribosomal RNA is filed under the name uncultured bacterium. RNAcentral's name for it is "partial 16S ribosomal RNA". It matches the Rfam family "Bacterial small subunit ribosomal RNA", at positions 28 to 523 of the family's 1533-position model. The record is from RNAcentral.
GAUGAACGCUAGCUACAGGCUUAACACAUGCAAGUCGAGGGGAAACGAUAGAGAAAGCUUGCUUUUUCUAGGCGUCGACCGGCGCACGGGUGAGUAACGCGUAUCCAACCUGCCCAUCACUUGGGGAUAACCUUGCGAAAGUAAGACUAAUACCCAAUGACGUCUCUAGAAGACAUCUGAAGGAGAUUAAAGAUUUAUCGGUGAUGGAUGGGGAUGCGUCUGAUUAGCUUGUUGGCGGGGUAACGGCCCACCAAGGCGACGAUCAGUAGGGGUUCUGAGAGGAAGGGCCCCCACAUGGGAACUGAGACACGGUCCAAACUCCUACGGGAGGCAGCAGUGAGGAAUAUUGGUCAAUGGCCGAGAGUCUGAACCAGCCAAGUAGCGUGCAGGAUGACGGCCCUAUGGGUUGUAAACUGCUUUUAUAAGGGAAUAAAGUGGGAGUCGUGACUCCUUUUGCAUGUACCUUAUGAAUAAGGACCGGCUAAUUCCGUGCCAGCCGCCGCAGUAA